AGCUAACCUUGAGUGUGUCCAGAAUCACAUACUGAUGUAUGCCAGUAAGCUUUCAGCAUUCAUCCCACCAGCCUUUGAGGCCCGAACCCUGCCCGCAGCCCUUGACUACAACUACCAUAAGGACUGAUGACACUUGAUGGAAGCAAACAUGAAUGGAGACACUGCAGCUCCACCGACGCCAGGAAGCAGACCAAACUAUAUUCGCCGCUACUAGAGUAAACAGAUUCAAAUCUACCCCAGCGUGCCCCUGGAGAGAUCUGAGGACCUGUAUUUUCAAAGAAGACUCA
Dicentrarchus labrax (European seabass) is the source of this 287-nucleotide long non-coding RNA. RefSeq lists it as uncharacterized. NCBI's taxonomy places the organism in Eukaryota, Metazoa, Chordata, Actinopteri, Moronidae. The record is from RefSeq and is a predicted model, not a curated record. The transcript is spliced from 3 exons.